This 468-nucleotide ribosomal RNA is filed under the name uncultured bacterium. RNAcentral's name for it is "partial 16S ribosomal RNA". It matches the Rfam family "Bacterial small subunit ribosomal RNA", at positions 28 to 507 of the family's 1533-position model. The record is from RNAcentral.
GACGAACGCUGGCGGCGUGCUUAACACAUGCAAGUCGAACGGAAAGGCCCUGCUUUUGUGGGGUGCUCGAGUGGCGAACGGGUGAGUAACACGCGAGUAACCUGCCCUUGACUUUGGGAUAACUUCAGGAAACUGGGGCUAAUACCGGAUAGGAGCUCCUGCUGCAUGGUGGGCGUUGGAAAGUUUCGGCGGUUGGGGAUGGACUCGCGGCUUAUCAGCUUGUUGGUGGGGUAGUGGCUGACCAAGGCUUUGACGGGUAGCCGGCCUGAGCGGGUGACCGGCCACAUUGGGACUGAGAUACGGCCCAGACUCCUACGGGAGGCAGCAGUGGAGAGUAUUGCACAAUGGGCGGAAGCGUGAUGCAGCAACGCCGCGUGCGGGAUGACGGCCUUCGGGUUGUAAACCGCUUUCGCCUGUAACGAAGCGUGAGUGACGGUAAUGGGUAAAGAAGCACCGGCUAACUACGUG